Non-coding RNA from Trichonephila inaurata madagascariensis, 71 nucleotides. NCBI's taxonomy places the organism in Eukaryota, Metazoa, Arthropoda, Arachnida, Araneae, Nephilidae. The record is from the annotation of a GenBank genome assembly.
GUCUCUGUAUCGCAAUGGAUAGUGUGUUGGACGUCAUCCAAAGGUCGUGGGAUCAAAUCCCACCUGGGAUG